GACCUGGUAGCGAAGUGGUAUCGCGUCCGCCUUAUCUAGUAGUUGUGUUGUAUCAUGUACGCGGAAGUCCCCGGUUCGACCCCGGGCCAGGUCC
Molecule: non-coding RNA, 94 nt
Organism: Mycena maculata
Lineage: Eukaryota; Fungi; Basidiomycota; Agaricomycetes; Agaricales; Mycenaceae
Source: the annotation of a GenBank genome assembly